This is a long non-coding RNA of Hordeum vulgare subsp. vulgare (domesticated barley), 270 nucleotides long. RefSeq lists it as uncharacterized. The transcript has 3 exons. The record is from RefSeq and is a predicted model, not a curated record. NCBI's taxonomy places the organism in Eukaryota, Viridiplantae, Streptophyta, Magnoliopsida, Poales, Poaceae.
AGGUUGCAGAUGAAAUUUAUUCAGAGCUGAAAUCCAUGGCACAUAUUGGUCAAGGGUUUGAUGAGAAGAAUAUUAGGCGGAGAGUGUAUGAUGCUUUCAACGUUCUCAUUGCACUUCGUGUUAUUGCAAAAGAAAAAAAAGGAGAUAUGGUGGAUGGGCCUUUCAAAUUACAGAUAUGAAAAGCUAAAGAAGUUGGAGGAAGUUCGCAAAGAACUCGUCAACAAGAUUAGGCACAAGAAGGCACUCCUCCAGGAAAUCGAAAAAAGGUAA